Molecule: transfer RNA, 72 nt
Filed under: Marmota monax (woodchuck)
Lineage: Eukaryota; Metazoa; Chordata; Mammalia; Rodentia; Sciuridae
Description: tRNA.Ala
Rfam family: tRNA (bases 5-65)
About the family: Transfer RNA (tRNA) molecules are approximately 80 nucleotides in length. Their secondary structure includes four short double-helical elements and three loops (D, anti-codon, and T loops). Further hydrogen bonds mediate the characteristic L-shaped molecular structure. tRNAs have two regions of fundamental functional importance: the anti-codon, which is responsible for specific mRNA codon recognition, and the 3' end, to which the tRNAs corresponding amino acid is attached (by aminoacyl-tRNA synthetases). tRNAs cope with the degeneracy of the genetic code in two manners: having more than one tRNA (with a specific anti-codon) for a particular amino acid; and 'wobble' base-pairing, i.e. permitting non-standard base-pairing at the 3rd anti-codon position.
Source: RNAcentral
GUGUUGUGGCUCAGUGGUAGAGCGCUUGCCUAGCAUGCGUGAGGCACUGGGUUUGAUCCUCAGCACUGCAUA